RNAcentral lists this ribosomal RNA (253 nucleotides) under uncultured bacterium. RNAcentral's name for it is "partial 16S ribosomal RNA". It matches the Rfam family "Bacterial small subunit ribosomal RNA", at positions 524 to 776 of the family's 1533-position model. The record is from RNAcentral.
UACGUAGGGUGCAAGCGUUAAUCGGAAUUACUGGGCGUAAAGCGCGUUCAGGCGGUUUGGCAAGUCGGGCAUGAAAUCUCUCGGCUCAACCGGGAGAGGUUGUCCGAUACUUCCAGACUUGAGGGCAGUAGAGGGUGGUGGAAUUCCGGGUGUAGUGGUGAAAUGCGUAGAUAUCCGGAGGAACACCAGUGGCGAAAGCGGCCACCUGGACUGCACCUGACGCUGACACGCGAAAGCUAGGGGAGCGAACGGG